GGGGGGAGGCCGGAUCCUGGGCUGUGUCCCGGGCUCCCAAUGCUCCCGGUCUGCGCUGUUGGAUUCGCGCUCCUGCCCCGCAGCCCCCU
RNAcentral lists this microRNA precursor (89 nucleotides) under Canis lupus familiaris (dog). Its description in RNAcentral is "mir-8799 microRNA precursor family". It matches the Rfam family "mir-8799 microRNA precursor family". Lineage: Eukaryota; Metazoa; Chordata; Mammalia; Carnivora; Canidae. RNAcentral also lists the same sequence under 1 other name. The record is from Rfam by way of RNAcentral.